This 253-nucleotide ribosomal RNA is filed under the name uncultured bacterium. Its description in RNAcentral is "partial 16S ribosomal RNA". It matches the Rfam family "Bacterial small subunit ribosomal RNA", at positions 524 to 776 of the family's 1533-position model. The record is from RNAcentral.
UACAGAGGGGGCAAGCGUUGUUCGGAAUUACUGGGCGUAAAGGGCGCGUAGGCGGCCUGUUAAGUCGAACGUGAAAUCCCCGGGCUCAACCCGGGAACUGCGUCCGAUACUGGCAGGCUUGAAUCCGGGAGAGGGAUGCGGAAUUCCAGGUGUAGCGGUGAAAUGCGUAGAUAUCUGGAGGAAUACCGGUGGUGUAGACGGCUCUCUGGACCGCGACUGACGCUGAGACACGAAAGCGUGGGUAGCAAACAGG